RNAcentral lists this ribosomal RNA (1446 nucleotides) under uncultured bacterium. RNAcentral describes it as "bacterial SSU rRNA". It matches the Rfam family "Bacterial small subunit ribosomal RNA". The record is from RNAcentral.
GAUGAACGCUGGCGGCGUGCCUAAUACAUGCAAGUCGAGCGAGGGGGGCAGCAAUGCCCUUCGAGCGGCGUACGGGUGAGUAACACGUUGGGAACCUGCCCCCUUGACCGGAAUACCCGAAGGAAACUUCGGCUAAUGCCGGAUAUGGCGCCUAGACAUAAGUCUUCGCGCUGAAAGGCUGCCUUACAGCAGCGCAUCGGGAUGGACCUGCGGCGGAUUAGCUAGUUGGCGGGACAAUAGCCCACCAAGGCGAGGAUCCGUAGCCGAACUGAGAGGUUAAUCGGCCACAUUGGAACUGAGAUACGGUCCAAACUCCUACGGGAGGCAGCAGUAGGGAGUAUUCGGCAAUGGGGGGAACCCUGACCGAGCAACGCCGCGUGAGCGAUGAAAGGCUUCGGCCUGUAAAGCUCUGUGACAGGGGACGAAUGGCGCCUUCAGGAAAUGGGGGGCGCUCGACGGUACUCUGUUAGAAAGCUACGGCUAACUACGUGCCAGCAGCCGCGGUAAUACGUAGGUAGCAAGCGUUAUCCGGAAUUAUUGGGCGUAAAGAGUGAGCAGGCGGCCUGCUAAGUCCGAAGUCAAAUGCCGUGGCUUAACCACGGUUCGCUUCGGAAACUGGCGGGCUAGAGUGCGGGAGAGGCAGAUGGAACUCCGAAUGUAGCGGUGAAAUGCACAGAUAUUCGGAAGAACACCAGUGGCGAAGGCGGUCUGCCAGCCCGAUACUGACGCUCAGUCACGAAAGCGUGGGGAGCAAAUAGGCUUAGAUACCCUAGUAGUCCACGCCGUAAACGUUGAGAACCAGAUGCCGGGUUAGAAGCUCGGCGUCAAAGCAAACGCAUUAAGUUCUCCGCCUGGGUACUACGUUCGCAAGAAUAAAACUUAAAGGAAUUGACGGGGACCCGCACAAGCAGUGGAGCAUGUGGUUUAAUUCGACGCUACGCGAAAAACCUUACCAGGGUUUGACAUCCCGCCUAAGACCGUGGAAACACGGGGAUAACAGGCGGCGAAAGGUGGUGCAUGGUUGUCGUCAGCUCGUGUCGUGAGAUGUUGGGUCAAGUCCCAAAACGAGCGCAACCCUUGCCCUCAGUUGCCACCAGGUGAAGCUGGGCACUCUGGCGGGACCGCCGGCGACAAGCCGGAGGAAGGCGGGGACGACGUCAAGUCAUCACGGCCCUUAUGUCCUGGGCCACACACGUGCUACAAUGGCCGGUACAGAGCGAGGCGGAGCCGGAAGGCCGAGCGGACCGCAGAAAGCCGGCCACAGUACGGACUGGGGUCUGCAACCCGACCCCACGAAGUUGGAAUCGCUAGUAAUCGCGCAUCAGCAUGGCGCGGUGAAUACGUUCCCGGGCCUUGUACACACCGCCCGUCAAGCCAUGGAAGUUGGGGGUACCUGAAGUCCGUAACCGUAAGGAGCGGCCUAGGGUAAAACCAGUGACUGGGGCU